GUGAAACUUUAUCCUUAAAAUGUUGAUUGUCACUUAAGAUCGCUGUCCAGAUGUUAAGCAAGGACCUUAUAAUCCCAGCGGCUUGGGAAGCUGAGGCCAGAGGAUUCUGAGUUCAGCAAAAGCCUAUCUCUAAAUAAAAUAUAAAAAAGGGCUGGCAGUGUAGUUCAGUGGUUAAGUGCCCCAGGUUCGAUUCCCAGUACCAAACAACAACAACAAAAGUCACCAAAUAUUUAAAAACUCUUCCUUUAUGCUAUCAGUUUCUAAAAGUGGGGAAAAUGUUAUUUGAAAGAUGUAACUGAACUUGAAUUGAUUCUCAGACAAUUCAUAAAUCAAAAUGGCAAAGCAGAAAUCAGAGGACUGAGAAACAGAGUAUUGGUUUCUCUCAUGCUUUAAGAAGAUAGUUAAUGGGCUAGGGUUGUGGCUCAGUUGGUAGAGCGCUUGCAUGGAGCACUGGGUUCAAUCCUCAGCACCACAUAAAUAAAUAAAAUAAAUAAAAUUGUGUCCGUCUACAACUAAAAAUUAAAAGGAGAAGGAGAAGGAGAAGAAGACAGCUAAUGUUUUCAAAAGUAUACAGAGGGAAACUUGGUGCCUGUGGCACACACCUGUAAUCCCAGGGAUUCAGGAAGCUGAGGCAGGAGGAUCACAAGUUCAAGUUAGGGAGAUCCUAUCUUAAAAUAAAAAAAUAAAAAGUCCUGGGGAUAUAGCUCAGUGUUAAAGCACCCCUGCAUCAAUCCCCAGUACAAAUAAAAAAGAAAGAAAGAAAGAAAGAAAGACAAUGACCUUCCUUUAUAUAGCAAUUACUUGUUUAUUUUUUAUUGUGUAGGUUAACAUUAUAAACUUUAAUCUCUAUAUAUUAUUUGAGACAUUUGUGAGGUUCCACUUUGUUUUCUUUCUGUACUGGGGAUUGAACCUAGAAGUGCUCUACUACUGAGCUACAACUUGCCCCACAUGUAAAAAAUAUUCUUAUUUUGAGUUUGAGUCUUGCUAAAUUGCUCAGACUGGUCUUGAACUUACUGUCUUCCUGCCUCAGCCUUCCCAGAUGCUGGGAUUAUAGGCGAGCACCACCAGGCCCAGCUUGGUUCCACUUUUGGACUAAACUCUAUUGACUUUUGCAUAGUUAGUUCUCUGCACUUUGCACUACCACUUCCAGAUAAAAUCUUAAUCAAGUGUGUGCUUGUCUGCUGAGUUCCUACACCAUGACUUUGCAUUCUGUCUUUGGACUUUCACUUCCUGAAUGUACAAGACACAUUUUUAUCACUCUCUUUCAUAUCAAGGAAAGCGUUGGGGAAUCUUAGAGGGAAGGUGGCUUAUGUGGACUGUGGGUGUUAGCUCAAUGAUACAGUGCUUGCCCAGUACAUGCAGGGCUCUAGGUUCAAUCCCUGGUACUGCCAAAAACAAAAAAGCUGCACAUUCACAGCUGUAAGCUCUACCAUCCCUGAUAGCCCUGACAAGCAAUGGGUUUAUUUGGUCUCACUGGAGGCCUGCUCUGCUUCUGUGCACAAGGUGAGCUGGGGCUGGCAGCCAAGGUAAUGGCAGUAAUGUAGAACUAAG
RNAcentral lists this long non-coding RNA (1551 nucleotides) under Marmota monax (woodchuck). Lineage: Eukaryota; Metazoa; Chordata; Mammalia; Rodentia; Sciuridae. The record is from RNAcentral.